Molecule: small RNA, 261 nt
Filed under: Arabidopsis thaliana (thale cress)
Lineage: Eukaryota; Viridiplantae; Streptophyta; Magnoliopsida; Brassicales; Brassicaceae
Description: ATSL221410
Source: RNAcentral
UUUUUAUUUAACCUAUCGUAGCCGACUCUUAGUGUUUCCUCAAUUUUAUCAUCUGAAUCAUUUCGAAGCCUAGGCAUCAUCUUCACCCACUCAUCUUUGUCCCUUCCUUUUAAAGAUGAACCCAAGACACUGAGACCCAAAGGAAGACUACCGACAAGCUCGGCAACUUCAAAUGCUAGUUCCUUAAAAUCAUCAGGUGGAGAGUCUUUCCCAAAAGCAUAUUGGGAUAUCAUCUUAAGAGCAAGACCUUGAGAUGGCAGC